ACCAGACUCCUACGGGAGGCAGCAGUGGGGAAUAUUGCACAAUGGGGGAAACCCUGAUGCAGCAACGCCGCGUGAGUGAAGAAGUAUUUCGGUAUGUAAAGCUCUAUCAGCAGGGAAGAAGAAGGACGGUACCUGACUAAGAAGCCCCGGCUAACUACGUGCCAGCAGCCGCGGUAAUACGUAGGGGGCGAGCGUUAUCCGGAUUUACUGGGUGUAAAGGGAGCGUAGACGGUUAAUCAAGUCUGAAGUGAAAGCCCGCGGCUCAACUGCGGAACGGCUUUGGAAACUGAGUAACUGGAGUGCUGGAGGGGCAGGCGGAAUUCCUGGUGUAGCGGUGAAAUGCGUAGAUAUCAGGAGGAACACCGGUGGCGAAGGCGGCCUGCUGGACAGUAACUGACGUUGAGGCUCGAAAGCGUGGGGAGCAAACAGGAUUAGAUACCCUAGUAUA
This 448-nucleotide ribosomal RNA is filed under the name uncultured bacterium. Its description in RNAcentral is "bacterial SSU rRNA". It matches the Rfam family "Bacterial small subunit ribosomal RNA", at positions 330 to 794 of the family's 1533-position model. The record is from RNAcentral.